CCCUGCUAAUUCACAGGCUGGACUGCAUCUUGGAUUAAUUCCUCAUUUCUCAACACUUGGAGCUGCUCAACUUGUCACCACCAGCGUGCAAACAACACCGGCCUAAUUCAUUUACCUCAGCUCACAAGAGCAAGCUCAGCUGUGGCAAGCAGCUCAAGAAGAAGCUGAUCACAGACACAAGGCAAAUACCUCUGAAAAUGACCCUGGGCCUGCUGCGGUGCCGGAACAAG
RNAcentral lists this long non-coding RNA (230 nucleotides) under Cavia porcellus (domestic guinea pig). RNAcentral describes it as "lncRNA (ENSCPOG00000030091.1)". Lineage: Eukaryota; Metazoa; Chordata; Mammalia; Rodentia; Caviidae. The record is from RNAcentral.